Molecule: unclassified non-coding RNA, 337 nt
Filed under: soil metagenome
Description: partial contains 5.8S ribosomal RNA, internal transcribed spacer 2, and large subunit ribosomal RNA
Rfam family: 5.8S ribosomal RNA (bases 1-120)
Source: RNAcentral
GAUGAAGAACGUAGCGAAAUGCGAUAAGUAGUGUGAAUUGCAGAAUUCAGUGAAUCAUCGAAUCUUUGAACGCACAUUGCGCCCCAUGGUAUUGCGUGGGGCAUGCCUGUUCGAGCGUCAUUUACCCCCUCAAGCUCCGCUUGGUGUUGGGCGUCUGUCCCGCUUCGCGCGCGGACUCGCCCCAAAGGUAUUGGCAGCGGUCGUGCCAGCUUCUCGCGCAGCACAUUGCGCUUCUCGAGGCACCGGUGGGCCCGCGUCCAUCAAGCUCACCCCCCCAGUUUGACCUCGGAUCAGGUAGGGAUACCCGCUGAACUUAAGCAUAUCAAUAAGCGGAGGA